CGAAGGGAAAGGAGCCGGACCCCAUACAUCAGAAUGGACUAAAUCGAAAGGACGCUGAGACACUGACUCACUAUGAGAAUAUGGUAACUGAAUCUGCUUGCCAAGACGACAACCCUGACACUCUAAAGAGACAUCUCCUGAGACAGACCCCAGAAGGCCUCGACGAACUAAAGACGAUAAUCGAGAACCACACAGAUGACCAAGUCGAUGAUGCCACUGCUUGAAGGAGCCAGUAACAGAAGCGACAGCAGCGGAGGAACUGGCGAUGGUGGUGGCAGCGGAAGGAACAUGAAGCCAGUCCAACUCCCAAAGACCCUGAGAAUCACGGCGGCGAGGGCCAGCCCCAACCAGAGUGUGCGUGCGACGAUCCUGGAUAGAACAAGAGUCAACAUCAAGGAUGACACGACAACCAGAAUCAGUAAGUUGACCGGCAGAAAACAGAUUCAUGGUAAGUCGAGGAACAUGAGCAACAUCAGGAACAGAAUAAGGAGUAGAAAGAUGGCCUCUACUAGCAACAGAAAGUGGAGUACCAUCAGCAGUGAAGACAUGAACAGGAGAAUCCAGCGAGCGAAGAGAAGACAAAGCGGAAGAAUGAGAAGACAUAUGAAAAGAAGCUCCAGAGUCCAGAACCCAUGGGGAUGUACCUGACUGUGUAGAGGGCGGGUGCUCAGUGCGGGAAGCAUCAGUCACAGAACCAGCAGUACCCGUCGAGGAAGAACCUGAAGCCGCGAGCAGACGCUUAAGUCUCAGAAUAUCCUGCUCGGUCAAAGCAAUGGCUGAAGCUGGCGGGGGAGAUGACGCAGUCCCUGAUGAUCGCGCCUUGCGCAGGUGUUUCCGCUUGGUGUAGCACUGGGACUCAAUAUGACCAUCAUUCUUGCAGUAGUCACAAUGUGAACGGGGCGACCUGAGCCUCCAGAAGGAGUGGGCAAGAGCGGCGGAGCACUCGAGCGAGAAUGGGGCGGUGCAGCAGGUGGAGUGGAAGAAACCCGAGUAGCAAGCACAGAGGGAACCUCCAGCAAACCAGCACCACGUAGGCGAGUCUCCUCAGCACGAAUCUCUGAAAGCGCCUCCAUGAGAGAAAUACGGCCACGAGCAAGCAACUGAGCACGCCGGGGCUCAAACUCCUUACGAAGCCGAGACAGGAACUCGUAGACGCGAUGAAACUCCAAAUCGGCCUGGAUAGCCUGGCAGCAGGGGCAAGUACGACAACCAGCACUGCGGAGAGAAUCAAGCUGGCGCCAGAUAGCAGAACUCUGUGCAUAAAAGUCAUCAACAGUAGAGUCACCCUGCUGAAGAGCAUGCUCCUACGAACCACAGACAGGUAUAAGGUAUCACCAGAGGGCUCAUAGCGCUGACGAAGACAGGUCCACAUCUGGAAGACAGUAGGAAGACCCAGAAACUCAGAAGCAAACUGAGGCAGAACACUAGCAGUGAGAACAGCGGCAGCACGAGCAUCAUCAUCAAGCCACUGGGUGUAAACAGACAAAGCACCAUGAUAAGUCUGAAGAGCCUCCUCAUAAGCCAGAGCCCUCUCAUCAUAGGCACGAUCAGCAGCCUCAUCAGCAACCUUAGCCGCAUCCUUGGCGGCCUGAUUAGCAUCCGGAGGAAGAACCAGUGGAGUCGGCGGAGUAGGGGCCACCGGAGGAACCGGACGUGGCGGACAGCAGACCUCGCCAGAAAGAACACCCCAGAGACGGAUGCCACGCAUGUGAAUGCGCAUGAAGCCAGCGAACUCGGUGUAGUUAGUACCGUCGAAGAUCACCGGACAGCGAGGGAUAGCGACAAAGCCCGAGGCAGUAGACAUUUUUUUUUUUGCAAAGAUCCGAACGAGGACAACGGCGCAGCAGACCACAGAUGGCAGCCCAGCCGAUCAGGAGGGGAUCGAACUGGCGGGAGGGGCGGACGAUCCGGAGCUGCCCGGGCACCGGGCGGAAGUAGAGGAGCCGGGCGGGGCGACGGGAAGGAGCCGGGCGGGCGCGGGCGGGCGACGAACUGGAGGGCGGGCGACGGCAGCACCUGGCGGGAGGAAGAGGUGCCGGGCGGGCGCUGGCGGCGACGAACUGGAGGGCGGGCGAGGCAGAGUAGCGACGCCGAGACAGAGGAAAAAUCGCGGCGGCGGCAGGACGGGAUCGAGCACGAGUUGCGCGUGCGAAAAAGAGACCUAAAGCUCUAAUACCAUGUUAGGAAUAAGCAACUUGUAUUCCCAUGAGGCCAUAGGCCGAUAUAUAUACAUGUACAGGUGUGGUAUAUAUGCAGGAAACCUCUUAUACUACGGGAUAAAUACGAAGAGGUAUACACGACUAAUACUAUAACUCUAACACUCUGAUCCUCCACCCACGCAUGACAAAGAGGUUCUCUCCCGUGAGGUGCUACACACAAAUGACCCUACAGGUUUCCUUGCUGCGCCUGUCUGCAGCCUCCUCUCCUCCCUCACCCGCUUACACUUUUAUGGCAAUCAUGAGGGGGAGGUGGAGCGCUUCACUAAUGAGCAAGAGGGUGCCCUUCAGCUCCUCACCUCCCUCCGGGACCUCAGGUGUAGCGAGUUGUACAAGCUGCACUGCCUCCCAGCAGGGCUACACAGAGUUUCCAGCCUCGAGACAUUACGGAUUGAGUACGGCCGUGCCUUCAAAUCACUGCCCAAGGAUGGCCUUCCGAGUUCUCUGAAAUAUUUAGAGAUUUGGUGCUGUUCUGCCUUCAAAUCGCCGCCCAAGGACAGCCUACCAAGUUCUCUGACACAUUUAGAGAUCCACGGUUGUUCUGCCUUUGAAUCGCUGCCAAAGGAAGGUCUGCCUUGUUCUCUGCAAACUCUAGAGAUCUGGGACUGCCCUGCCUUCAAAUCGCUGCCAAAGGACAGUCUCCCAAGUUCUCUGGAAAAUGUAGAGAUCUGGGACUGUCCUGCCUUGACAUCGCUACCCAAGGAUGGGCUCCCAAGUUCACUGCGGAAGUUAACAGUCCGGUCUGGCAACAGCAAGGAGCUAAUGAGGCAGUGCCGCAAGUUAAAAGGAACCAUUCCAAUAAUUGACGACUAAUCCAAGGGCUCUUCUCUGUGCAUCCAAGUACAGUUUGAGGUUCCAGUGCAAGCAUGAAGACCCCAGUUUGUAUCUUCAAUCCUGUACAUAAAGUUGGUUAGGAUUUGAAUAAUCACCCCAACUCCAAUAGUUUCAUACGUUGUUUAGAAAUUCAAUCCACACAUUUUUUUUAUGUGUGCUGUUAAUAUAUUUUGAGUUAUUCCAGACUGUCAGUAUUAGAGUUCGAGCAAGAGCGAGAGCAACUAUUAAAAAAAAAUCGAAUCAUCUUCUUUUUUUGUCAUUUUAGUACUUUCUCUUAAUGAUCUUGUAAGAUUUUGAUCCUAAGUAAAGCAAUAAUGCCAGGAUUGUAUGUGCUAAUUUACGAAGUAGUGUCUGACCAGAGGGACAAUUUUGUUUUCAAAAUAAAAAAGGUGUCUACUGCGGGAUAAUUCAUUUCUACA
Triticum aestivum (bread wheat) is the source of this 3469-nucleotide long non-coding RNA. RefSeq lists it as uncharacterized. The record is from RefSeq and is a predicted model, not a curated record. NCBI's taxonomy places the organism in Eukaryota, Viridiplantae, Streptophyta, Magnoliopsida, Poales, Poaceae. The transcript is spliced from 2 exons.